This 253-nucleotide ribosomal RNA is filed under the name uncultured bacterium. RNAcentral describes it as "partial 16S ribosomal RNA". It matches the Rfam family "Bacterial small subunit ribosomal RNA", at positions 524 to 776 of the family's 1533-position model. The record is from RNAcentral.
UACGUAGGGGGCUAGCGUUAUCCGGAAUUACUGGGCGUAAAGCGUGCGUAGGUGGUUCGUUGUGUCUGUGGUGAAAGCCCCGGGCUUAACCUGGGAACGGCCAUGGAAACUGGCGAGCUGGAGUGUGGCAGAGGGGGGUGGAAUUCCGCGUGUAGCAGUGAAAUGCGUAGAGAUGCGGAGGAACACCGAUGGCGAAGGCAGCCCCCUGGGCUAACACUGACGCUGAGGCACGAAAGCGUGGGGAGCAAACAGG